Molecule: ribosomal RNA, 410 nt
Filed under: uncultured bacterium
Lineage: Bacteria
Description: bacterial SSU rRNA
Rfam family: Bacterial small subunit ribosomal RNA
Source: RNAcentral
UUGAACGCUGGCGGCACGCCUUACACAUGCAAGUCGAACGGCAGCACGGGAGCAAUCCUGGUGGCGAGUGGCGAACGGGUGAGUAAUAUAUCGGAACGUGCCCAGUCGUGGGGGAUAACGCAGCGAAAGCUGUGCUAAUACCGCAUACGAUCUAUGGAUGAAAGCGGGGGAUCGCAAGACCUCGCGCGAUUGGAGCGGCCGAUAUCAGAUUAGCUAGUUGGUGGGGUAAAGGCCCACCAAGGCGACGAUCUGUAGCUGGUCUGAGAGGACGACCAGCCACACUGGAACUGAGACACGGUCCAGACUCCUACGGGAGGCAGCAGUGGGGAAUUUUGGACAAUGGGCGCAAGCCUGAUCCAGCAAUGCCGCGUGCAAGAUGAAGGCCUUCGGGUUGUAAACUGCUUUUGUAC